This is a long non-coding RNA of Cyprinus carpio (common carp), 767 nucleotides long. RefSeq lists it as uncharacterized. The record is from RefSeq and is a predicted model, not a curated record. NCBI's taxonomy places the organism in Eukaryota, Metazoa, Chordata, Actinopteri, Cypriniformes, Cyprinidae. The transcript has 3 exons.
AUGACUAUGCAGGACUGCAGAUUUAAGAUCAUGUGAUAUCCUUGAAAGAUCCGCAAUCUGACGUCACCAUAACCUUCUGAUCCAUUCUGAUUGAAUUACUUGAGUCUUGCAUCGUUCUUUAUAAACGGUCAAUGCACUGACAAAAGAAUACAGCAAAGAUAUUCAAGGAAAUAAGACAUAACUGCGAUACAGAAAACUUCUGCUUGCUGUUUGGAAGUCAGCUCCCUAAGGUUCAGUCAUGAUGAGAAGCAUUAUUCCCAAGAGCAAAGCAAAAGGCACUGAUAUCUGUGCAUUUAACAACUACUAUUACAUAAUCCGCUCUGACCUCGGCCGCUAUAUGCAGACAAGUGAUUUACAUAAAGGUGCAGAUAUCUCUAUUUUCAGUCUGCACCCUGCCUGCCAAAAUGGAGACCAUUACAUUGGAGGAGGUGGAGAAAGCUACUUUCACAUCAUCAAGGGCACUUCCUUCCGCAGAGUCACCGAUCUGUCUACAGACAGCAAUGCUGUAGUUUACAACCUUCAUCCCAGCUGUCAGGGUGGAGACCACUACCUCAGAUCCUUUAAAUAUUUUUACAUCAUCUUCCAAGAAAAGGGUACUUUACGAGUAACAACUGACAUGGAACUCGACUCAGAUGCUAAAGUACACACCCUGCAUCCCAACUUCAGAGAUGCCUGCCUCAGAGUGGAGUGUUGAGUUCUGCCACGCUCUUGAUCUCAGCAUAAAAAAGCAAACUGCUGUCUGUUCUGUUCAUCCUGAUGUUCUUAAC